RNAcentral lists this microRNA precursor (136 nucleotides) under Hordeum vulgare. RNAcentral's name for it is "microRNA MIR1122". It matches the Rfam family "MIR1120/MIR1122 microRNA precursor family". The record is from RNAcentral. Lineage: Eukaryota; Viridiplantae; Streptophyta; Magnoliopsida; Poales; Poaceae.
CUAAUACUCCCUCCGUCUCAAAAUUCUUGUCUUAGAUUUGUCUAGAUAUAAAUAUAUCUAGUCACAUUUUAGCAUUCUAAUGCAUUCAUUUUUAAACAAUCCUAAGACAAGAAUUUUGGGACGGAGGAAGUAGAUA